Molecule: ribosomal RNA, 815 nt
Filed under: uncultured marine archaeon
Lineage: Archaea
Description: bacterial SSU rRNA
Rfam family: Archaeal small subunit ribosomal RNA
Source: RNAcentral
UGCGAGUCUAGAGGCCUAGCCUCGGCGUACCGCUCAGUAACACGUGGGUAACCUACCCUAUGCUGGGGGAUAAGCUCGGGAAACUGAGAAUAAUACCCCAUAGUCCACUACGCCUGGAACGGUGAGUGGAUCAAAGCUCCGGCGGCAUAGGAUGGGCCUGCGGCGUAUCAGGUUGUAGGGGGUGUAACGUACCCUCUAGCCAUCCACGCGUACGGGUGUUGGGAGACAUUGCCCGGAGAUGGAUUCUGAGACACGAAUCCAGACCCUACGGGGUGCAGCAGGCGCGAAAACUUGGCAAUGCGAGAAAUCGUGACCAGGGAACUCCAAGUGGCAGGGGUAAGACCCUGUCUUUUUCCGACUCUAAAUAGGUCGGCGAAUAAGGGGUGGGUAAGGACGGUGCCAGCCGCCGCGGUAAUACCGGCGCCUCAAGUGGUAGUCGCUUUUAUUGGGCCUAAAACGUCCGUAGCCGGUCUGGUACAUUCGUGGGUAAAUCCACUCGCUCAACGAGUUGAAUUCUGCGAGGACCGCCAGACUUGGGGCCGGGAGAGGUGUGGGGUACUCUCCGGGUAGGGGUAAAAUCCUGGCAUCCUGAGAGGACCACCUGUUGCGAAGGCUCCACACUAGAACGGAUCCGACGGUCAGGGACGAAGCCUAGGGGCACGAACCGGAUUAGAUACCCGGGUAGUCCUAGUGUAAACGCUGUGGACUUGAUGUUGGGGACGCUCCGAGCGUUCUCAGUGUCGAAGCGAAGGCGAUAAGUCCACUGCCUGGGGAGUACGGUCGCAAGGCUGAAACUUAAAAGGAAUUGGCGGGGG